This is a long non-coding RNA of Sorghum bicolor (sorghum), 290 nucleotides long. RefSeq lists it as uncharacterized. Lineage: Eukaryota; Viridiplantae; Streptophyta; Magnoliopsida; Poales; Poaceae. The record is from RefSeq and is a predicted model, not a curated record. The transcript is spliced from 2 exons.
UGGUGAACAAAUAACUGAGGUGCAUAAUCCUCUUAGAGCAGCUGAGCCCUUGCUUCUAUAGUGGAGCAACAGAAAAGAAUUAGGAAAUUCAUCCACAUACAUCUGAUAUCCUUUUUGUAGACUAUUUAUAUAAGUUUUUCCUCUCUCAAAUACAUAGUCCUGUGGAUGUACAUCCUGACAUUGCUGCCAUGAUAGGUUUUGGUGGGUUAAAACAUAGGCAAGGUUCAUUUAUAUAAUUGGAGCUUGCACUUUUACACUCAGUUAUAUAUAUAUCCUUCACUUUAGUUACA